RNAcentral lists this transfer RNA (77 nucleotides) under Hyphomonadaceae bacterium. Its description in RNAcentral is "tRNA-Arg". It matches the Rfam family "tRNA". Rfam says of the family: Transfer RNA (tRNA) molecules are approximately 80 nucleotides in length. Their secondary structure includes four short double-helical elements and three loops (D, anti-codon, and T loops). The record is from RNAcentral. Lineage: Bacteria; Pseudomonadati; Pseudomonadota; Alphaproteobacteria; Hyphomonadales; Hyphomonadaceae.
GGCCCCGUAGCUCAGCUGGAUAGAGCAGUUGCGUCCUAAGCAAACGGUCGGGAGUUCAAAUCUCUCCGGGGUCGCCA